This is a long non-coding RNA of Talpa occidentalis (Iberian mole), 2226 nucleotides long. RefSeq lists it as uncharacterized. The record is from RefSeq and is a predicted model, not a curated record. The transcript is spliced from 10 exons. Lineage: Eukaryota; Metazoa; Chordata; Mammalia; Eulipotyphla; Talpidae.
CUGCCAUGCCUCUUGUGCAUUGUGACACGAGCAAGGAUUCCUAGAGACAAGAAGGAUGAAGCAGUAAGAUGCAGUUCCUAGCAGCAACAUACCAGAAUGUGUUUGCUGAGUAGCAUAAUGUUAAUAGCUAACAGAUAGUGAGCAUUUCUCUCUUAAAGCACUUUGAAUAUAUUAGCUUAUUUAAUCCUCACUGCAACCCAAGAGAUAAAUACUCAUUAUCUCAUUUUAAGGAUGAGAAAUAAAACAGAAAAUACUUGAAGAACAUGCCUGAGUUCAGUCAGCAAUUAAGCAGCAGGGCUGGAUUUCAACCCGUCCGGGUCAGAAACUUCAAAUGCAAGUGACACAUGGCUCUCGACCUGAGUGUCCCAAACAUGUGAGCUUCUUUUCAGGGAUUCUUGACAAGUAGAACUUGCUCUACCAAUCCAAUAUUUUGCACUACUCAUGGUCCAAGGAAACGCCCAGAUCUUUCUGGAAUAAACCCACUUGGGAUGACUGGAUUGAAUUAAAGCAGUCCAAUGGAUGCCAACUGGCCAGAGUUUGGGCAACUCCAUUACCUCAUCCUCCUUGGUUUGUUGAAGAAACAAAGAUAAUGACCCUUUCCCAAGGCUGGGGCUGGGAGAAGAUAGGACUUCGGAGCUGGGUAAAUACCCUUUGAGAUGCUUUACCGUCUGAAGGCAAGUCUACUCUGUCAGAACCAGGGGAGCAAAGAGGGUCUUUCAGGUCUGGGAGAACUGCUCCAAGGGUUGAGCUUGGCAAUUCUAGUUUGGAUGUUCAUACCCUCUUCCCGGCAGCAGAGAGGGGAGGCACAUUAGGAUGAUUCAGAAUAUGGAAAACUAGGUUCCAGAGCAGAACUAUCAUUCAGCUCCAGCAGCAACAGAGGAACUUUGCAUCCUAUCUGUGGCUUCAUGCAAAUUCCCACAUAGCAACACUGGCUUUGUGAAGAAUUACAUUUCCUGCUGCAGUGAUUAGAUAGACAGGCUCAUUUAAGUCCUAUCAGCCAGAACUUAGCCCUGUGUUUUGCUGGAGGCAACUGACACUUAUGGGUGUUCAUCAACACACUAAAUGUCAAUCGGACAUAGUGACCAAUGGGUGUUCAUCAACACACUAAAUGUCAAUCGGACAUAGUGACAAAGCAGACCUGAAGGUAAGGCCCAGAAAGGAACCAAGGACGAUGCAGAUCCCUGGUAUGAGGAGGCGUGGAGAAAUCCUUUCCUGAGAUGGGAAAAUCCACAGGUAAAUGUUCAGAGCAGUUGUAUUGCUAUAACCUCAACCAAAAUAAAACAAAUGUCCACGAACAAGCACAUAAAGACACAGAGUGGUGUAAAGAGCGGGGCCCUGGAUUAAUCCCUGGGCAGUAGCACAGGGGUGGACCUUUGCCCUCAAGCCACAUCGCCUGUGUUUUAAUCCCAACUGCAGUGGUUAUUUGUGGGAUGACUUCUGGGAAAAGAAAAGCUGAAAAUAAGAUGUGUCAUUGCUCCUGAUGGCAUAAAGUUACCACCGCUGGUUCCCUCCUCCCAGAUUAUUACCAAUUUCUAACAACACCUUGGGUUGGGGAGCUUGCCAGUGGAAGUCAUGCAGAAAUAUUCAGACAGGUCUCUCUUUAUGAGCCAGUGGAGUAGUAGGGAUGAAAACAAGUUCUGGCCUGGGGAUGUCCUGGGAUGAAGAAGAACAGCCAAACCUCUGUGUGGUUUCAGUAGAAUAAAGCACAGUGUGUACAGUGAGUAACCUCAGCAAUCUGGUGCCUGGCACCUAAGACUAAGUAAUUUACCUUCAAGGACCUGCAGGACCAUUAAGAAAAGUCUGGUGGCUCCUCCAUCAACUGAGCCAGAGCUAGAAGGUUCUAGAAGAAACUCACUUGAUCUGGCAUAAAACUGUGAACACAGGCAAGUCCCUGACCUUCUGAGGCUUCCUUUUCUCAUCAGCAGAGUGGAAGCAAUCACCUUCAUUUCCAGAGCAUGUAUGGGGGUUCUAUGAGAAAUGGACAUAAAAUAAUGCAAUCAAAGUCUAAAGUGCACACUGCGAAGGUGUGCUGAUUGUUCUGAACCAGCAUAGGUUAGCGUGAUGGGGUUAGCAUCACGUUAGGUUAACAUUCCCCUUCAAGCGCCUGGUGGAGGAGCUAGGCUAGACACAGUGGAUUUAUUGGAUUUUGCUCAUUUUUACAUUACAGUAGUAAUCCGGCUCAUGGUGAAAAACUCGGGGAGAAGCAUAAUAAAGAAAAUUAAAAUA